UACGAAGGGGGGCUAGCGUUGUUCGGAUUUACUGGGCGUAAAGCGCACGUAGGCGGUUUGUUAAGUCAGGGGUGAAAUCCCGGAGCUCAACUCCGGAACUGCCUUUGAUACUGGCAAGCUAGAGUCCGGAAGAGGUAAGUGGAACUCCUAGUGUAGAGGUGGAAUUCGUAGAUAUUAGGAAGAACACCAGUGGCGAAGGCGGCUUACUGGUCCGGAACUGACGCUGAGGUGCGAAAGACGUGGGGGAGCAAACAGG
RNAcentral lists this ribosomal RNA (256 nucleotides) under uncultured bacterium. RNAcentral describes it as "partial 16S ribosomal RNA". It matches the Rfam family "Bacterial small subunit ribosomal RNA", at positions 524 to 776 of the family's 1533-position model. The record is from RNAcentral.